UACGUAGGUGGCGAGCGUUGUCCGGAAUUAUUGGGCGUAAAGGGAGCGCAGGCGGAUGUUUAAGUCGUACUUAAAAGUGCAGAAGUAAUGUUUGUGAUGGGUACGAAACUGAAUGUCUUGAGAGCAGGAGAGGCAAGCGGAAUUCCCAGUGUAGCGGUGAAAUGCGUAGAUAUUGGGAGGAACACCAGUGGCGAAGGCGGCUUGCUGGACUGCAUCUGACGCUGAGGCUCGAAAGCUAGGGUAGC
RNAcentral lists this ribosomal RNA (245 nucleotides) under uncultured Centipeda sp. RNAcentral's name for it is "partial 16S ribosomal RNA". It matches the Rfam family "Bacterial small subunit ribosomal RNA", at positions 524 to 769 of the family's 1533-position model. Lineage: Bacteria; Bacillati; Bacillota; Negativicutes; Selenomonadales; Selenomonadaceae. The record is from RNAcentral.